Oenanthe melanoleuca is the source of this 597-nucleotide long non-coding RNA. RefSeq lists it as uncharacterized. The transcript is spliced from 3 exons. Lineage: Eukaryota; Metazoa; Chordata; Aves; Passeriformes; Muscicapidae. The record is from RefSeq and is a predicted model, not a curated record.
GGUGCACACGUGCCAGGGCGUGCCCAUCCGCGAGUUCUCCUUCUUCCCGCACGAGGACGAGGUGCUGAUCCCGCCCUUCGAGACCUUCGAGGUCACCGGUGUCACCAACGUCACCGCGGGCGGGGGCGGGGCGCGGAUCGAGCUGCGCUCCACCGGCACCUUCAGCAACUACAACUGCCAGUGGCUGCGAGAGCAGCGCUGUGGAGACGGGCCCUGUGUGUUCGACACGGGCAGGAGCACCCCCCACCUCGGAGGGCUCCUCCUGGCCACUACAGCCCUGGCAGUGGCCACCGGGAUCCUCUGAGCCACCAUGGCCACCGAGAUCACCACCGGUCAUUGUGGUCACCGUGGUCACCAAGGCUGCUGGCACCUCCCCCAGCCACGAGGCCACCGAGGCCACUGAGGCCUCCAAAGUCACCAUGGCCACUAUGGCUAUUGUGACCACCAAGCCAGGACGAGUUAGGGGACAACACUGGAGCCACCAGGUGCCACCAGGACAUUGGGACAAGAGAGGGGACAGGGGGACUCUGAAUGUACCAUCGCUUUGGUUCUUCACUUUUUGGUUUGUUUUUUUUUUCCCAAAAUUUUAAUUUUUCU